Molecule: long non-coding RNA, 9081 nt
Filed under: Homo sapiens (human)
Lineage: Eukaryota; Metazoa; Chordata; Mammalia; Primates; Hominidae
Description: HSALNT0232248
Source: RNAcentral
GUAUGUAAGUGCCUACUAUGUGCCAGGCAUGCUGCAUUAUUUAACUUUGUCAUACAAAAAGACUCGUGAGGUAGGUUUCAUAGAAGAGGAAACUGAAGCAUAAGAGGUGUAAGCAAAGCUCAUGUCACUAGUGACUGAGUCAGAAUUUGAAUCUAAAUAUGUCUGCCUAAAAUAUUCUUGUCUUUUCACAAAAUCCAGUGGCCAGACUACUUCAGUCUGCCCAUGAUUCUCACUUUGGGGUCAGGUGGACCCCCUAAUAGCCAUAGCAAAGGUAAGUUUCUUGAUUAGAUUCCAAAAAAUACACAGAUGCUAAUAAAAAACAAACAAACAAACAAAUAAAAAAAACACACACAAAGAAAACCUUUUUUAUAAAAGAAGGAAAUGCAGCUAAACUCCGUGUGACAGGUUUAGUCCAAGCCAAUUGUGGUGACCCCAUUCCCUCUGCCAGUGAUAGAUUUGAUAAUGGGCACAUGACCUAAUUCUGGCAAAUAAAUUUUGAGAAGAUUUCUUUUGAGAAAAAGAAACAGGGCAGGAAUUCUGGGAAACAAUUCUUCAUGAUGAAGAGUACCAAUAAGUAAUGAUCCUUCUUCUUCCUCUUCACUUUUUUGUCUGGGCAUAACACCUGGAACUGCUACAAAGUCCUUGUUCCUGGGUUGAACAUGAAGUUAGCACAAAGAAUGUCAAUGUGGAGGCAUCAUACAAAUAUGAGUCAUUAAAGAUCUGUCACAUUAUCCUACCUCUGGACUUGAUGUUAUAGAAGAUAAUGAAUUUCCUUAUUGGUUCAGUCUAUUUUGAGUAAGGUCAUCUGUUACUUGCUGCUAAAGGCAUUCUAUCUGACUUCAAGAGGAUCUUUAGUAGCCUAAGACUCUUAACUCUAUCUAUCAUUGCAUUACACUUAUUAAGUGUGUAAGGAUUUUUACCACAUUUCUACAUCUAUCAUCUAAAGAGAAAUGCAUAACUUACCCCUGAUGGUUUUUGGACAAACUUCAUUAUUCCAUUUAAGUAACGGAAAUCUGAAAAUUACAAAAACUAAGUAACUUGAAGAAAGUGGCUUGAAUAAGUAUCUGUGUCAGAAUUUCAACAACAGUACCCUGGCACCAGGGUGCACGUUUUCAUGUGAAUUCACAUAUAAACUCACGUUUGGAUUCUGCCAUAUGGUAGCCUCAAUACUUUUAUGUUCACCAUUCCACUUGAUUUUUGACAUCAAAUCUAUCACUUUGCAAAUGCUGUUUUAUUAUGUCCACUCUUUAAUAUACUGUAGUCCAAGAAGGCAUGUGAGCUUUUCAAGGUGACAUAGCAAGGAAAGAGAAAUGGGCAAGACCCACUGUUCUGGAAUCAAUGUUUUUGAUGUCCUCCUGGAUUCAUUUGUUGAAACUUUGCCCAUCCAUGUGAUGCUAUUAGGGAGUUGGAUUUUGGGAGGUAAUUAGGAUUAGUUGAGAUCAUGAAGGUGGAGUCUUCAUGAAUGGGAUUAGUCUUAUAAGAGUCAGAAUUGAGCUUGCUUCCCUCUCUCUGCUGUCAGACUAGUGAGAAUCCAAUGAGAAAGCUACAGUCUGCAUCUGGAAGAGGACCCUCACUAGAACCUGAGCGGGCUGGAACCCUGAUGUUGGACAUCCAGCCUCCAAAACUUGAAGAGCACCACCAUUCCAGAGUUGCUGAAAUGAAGCAGCCAAGGCCCAGCUUAGAUGUCCCAAUUGAUGAUGGAUGAGAGUGUUAAACCUCCAUCCUGCACAGGAUGGAACACCAGGAGCCCCAAAUCUACGUAUGAGAAAGCUGUGAUUUCAGAGAGGAGCAGUAGCUUAUCAAAGGCCGUGCAAGUCAAUUUGUGACAAAGUGUAAACCAGACAAAAGGUUAUCACAAGGCUCAUAUCAUGGCCAGCUGAAUGACUGAAAACCUGGAUAUAUACUCUAUAAACAAUGUCAUGGUGCUGUGGCGCAAAGAAAGUUGAAUUGCAGAAAAAAAGAAGAGUGUGAUGGUAACUCUAAGCCAAAGGCAGAGGAAGAGAAAAAAAAAAGUUUAAAGAAGCACUUACUGUAGCAGUCUGGAUAGGCUAGGAUACACAAUGGAAAACUAAAUCUCAAGACCUCAAAAUAACAAGAGUAAAUGCCGUUUUGUCAAUGAAAGAGGGAUGCUUGCGAUGAUGUGAAGGAUGUCUGAGAAGAGGUGUAUUUCUGAAGGAAAGAAAGAACACAGCAUACUCCUUGGAUAAAUCUCAUUUUCUUCCUUGUUAAGCCUUUUUUUCCCAUUGCAUUCUCUACAAACCCCUGGCCCACUCUUUCCUCCUCUUUCUACUUCCUUCCUUUCUCACCUGUACCCCAAACUAUAUUUGUAAACUCUUGCAGUGUUACUUUUGCACAGGGCUUGAAAUAUUUAACACCUUUGUUUUUAAUACAUGAGAAAAAUAAGAUCUAUAGGAAAGGAAACAACUUAACCAGUUUGAACAGGUAAUUGAUAGACUACAGUCCUCUCUCAAAUGUUUACUAAUGACACAUAUGCAUGGAGAUGGGAAUGUAUACAUACACACACACACAUACACACACACACAAACACACGUAUUGACUGGUUGAAACAUGACAGUUCUCCAGUACCUGGGAAUUAAAGGAGGGUGCAUUAGCCAUCCCUACCUUUACCUCAAUAUCCAUUUUAGGAAGGAUUAGAAAUUAAUUUACAUGAUUGAACAUACCAAGGGCUUUGAAAGCAGAAAAAUAUGAAAUUCAGAUUUUUCACUUCUUCAUCCUGGAGGUUCAGUUUUCCCAACACUAAAAUGAGGAUAGUAACACCAAACAUGGGAAUUGUUGAAGUGAUCAGUGAAAUAGAUGCUGUAUUAUAGGCCUAGCUCAGUUUAUGCUCUUAUCUUAAGAUUCUCUCUCUGGAAACCAAACCACCCCUGGAAUGGGCUCUGGUGGUCCUUACAUGAACAUAAGGCAUGCAUAACCCCUUUGAUAUUGUGAGUGUUUCUCUGCAUAUGAGCAUUCUUUUCUUCAGGGAAAAGUUCCUAACUUUUAUUAGAUUCUCAAAGUUGUCUGUAUUUCCUAUUAUUUUAAGAAAACUGACUUAAAUAGAAGGUGUAAUUGCGAAUGUUAACAAUAAUAAUUACAAACACCAUAACAUUACUAAUAUUUCACUACAAACAAAUAAUAAUAGUAUUAUUAUUAAUAUUCAAUUAUCUGAACAUGAGCCAAAAUUGGUGGAUGAAUCACAUUUAAAUCAUCGGGUGCUUUGCUUUCACCAGGUAAAAAGUUCCAAUUUCUUCUUAUUACAUUAAAUCUUAAGAACCUAUUUCACUCUUAUCCACAAAAAGGAACUCAUUUCCCCUAGAAAGGCAGGCUAAUGAGGUCUGCUUAAUUUAUAGCUGGGUCCAUUUAUGUGGUGGUUUCAUUAACAAAGACAUCUAUUUAAUUCAAUAGAUUCCUACACGUGGUACACAUAGAAGACACUACUACCCCCAUUCACUCCCCAUCCAUUCAUUACCCUAAUGCUUCUGACACACACAAACAAACCUUGUUUUACAAAUUGCUUAGAGAUUUGAUUAUUGCAUCAUGCAUUUUGUUGUAACAAGAAAGGUGAUUUAAAAUCAUUAGUCCUAAAAUUUAGUCCUGUGUGUGCUUUGAAGUCAAGGGGAACAAUUUGUCAGCUGGUUGAUCUUUUGCUUCUAAAGCUAGUUAACUGAUCAAUCUAAUGUCAAAGGAACAGAGAUAAAUGGGAGACAUUUUACUAUGUAGAAAACGGUACAUGAAGAUAAAUCCAACACUGUGCUUUAUUUCAUCUGCAGUUAUCUUUGUAGUAAUUGCUUUGGAAGACUCAAGGUGCUCUUUGCACAUAGGGAGUGUUAGAAGCCUUUAAAUCAUCUGCAUAGACUAGUAGCUUCUUGCUGCGAAUCUUGCUUUGCUCCAUUUUUGGGUAGAGAGGACAAUAAUCUCCUACUAUAAAUGCAAAUUUGGCAAGGACCAAAGGUUGGGAUUCUUGACUAGUUGUUUAUUGAACAAUCAAUUCAUACAUUUCUGAAAUUUCUUGACAUGCUUGCAAAGUAGAUCCAUUCCUUAUUGAAUUCAUUUGAUUUUCACUAUGACCAUAAUGAUUAAACUAGUUCUGGAGUAAACGUUUCCUAAUGAACAGAUUUGGAUGUACCAGCUGUUCCAGUUAUCUCUGUACAAAACAACCCCCCCAACUAUCUGGCUUAAAACAAAAGACAUAUAUUUCAUAAUUUUGUAAAUCAAAAAUUGAAAUUGAGUGACAACAGCAAAGGAAACUUAAAAAUAUUUAGCCAUCAAUGAACUGUAGGGUCCAAUAUACCUUCAUUUACAUGUCUGGUACCUUGGAUGCAGGGAAUGAUUGGAAGGCUUGUCUAGUAGACUCAGCUGUGACUGCCAAUCAGAGUACCUCCAUUUGGCUUCUCCAACAAGAAGUAUCAGAUAAACUUCUUACUUGACAUCUCAGGGCUCUCAGAGAGUUCUAAAAGGCCAUACUGGAAGCUGCAACAGUUCUUAUCAGAGUAUCAGUUGCUACUAGGUCAAUUUAUGGACAAAUCACUCAGGUCAUCUCAGACUCAAGGUAAGAGAAACUAGACUCUACCUCAUAGAGAAGAGAAAAACACGGUAUCCAUAUCCUUCUUUAAUCUACCACUCCAGAACAUUUUGAUUCUAUACAAGACCCAUUAUCAAAUCAUUCUGCUGCCAUCACCUCAAGGUUUUAUAUGUUUUAGAAUGUUCAGCAAGACAGAUCAUGGUCAGGGUAAAAGAGCAGUAAUUGGUUAAGUAGCUAUUAUUCUGACAAGCUACAAAAGGGACUUGCAUUUUCUUAACUCUCAGAAAUUUUUUGUAUUUUUAGUAGAGACGGGGUUUCACCGAGAAACAUCUUCUUACUGAAAGUUAUGUGAACACCCAUUAGAAACCAGGGAGAGAGAUUUCAUUUCUUCCAGAGUAGGUUCAAUGCCUAGUUUUACCCUAUCAGAAUUUUGUCCGGGGCACUUAUCCAGUGACAAUUUUUUUUUCAUAAGAGCUAUUUUUCGUAAGACUGCCCAAAAUCUUAGGAAUGAUCCAAUUUUCCAGUAAUGACUAAUAUAUUAAGAUGCAUAUGAAGGCUCCUCUUUCAUUAUGAUAGUCACCCUCUCACCAUUGCCUACCGAAUACUGUCUCAACUCAUCGAACUGCCUGACUUUUCACAACGAAGCCUUUAAAGUUUAUUCAAAACUUCUCUCCUCACAUUCACCCUGUCCACCAGCGAGACCACCCCUCCCAUUGUCUCCAGAAUAAAUAUGGUGUUCCCACCUCUGGGAAAGUUAACAAUGACAAUUAUAUCAAUUGCUAAUAUUUGUUGAACACUUACAUCACUUGUUUGCUCUUUAGGCUACGUUGAUUGAUGUGAAUUGCAAUGGACACUCCGAUGCCGUUGGGAAGCACUUCUUGUCUGUUGUACUCAACACAAAGAACUGUCCACUCUUGAUAUUUUUUUUGUAAAAGCCUGUAUCAUGUCUUCCCAGACAAAUGUUCCAGGAAAGUAUGAGAUUUUGUCUCGUACUACUUGUUUUCACACACAAUGUCUCACACAGAGCAGGCACUCCACAAAUAAAUUACUAGUCCAGCAACCCUUUAUUACACAACUGUUACAUACUCCAUGCAAACAAGGAAAGCAAGUUAGAACAAAUGAAACACAACUUCAGGAAUAGUUUGUUGUUCAUUUGAAUUUGCUGAUAUUUUUAUGUUUGACUUUAGAGGAAUUUGAAUGAUUUAGGUCGGAAUUGCAUUUCUACAGCUGGCUGGCAGGACAACUUUGAACAGUCUACAGAGCUCCUAUUUUCCUCUCUCUGAAGUGAGGGUAACAACUGGUAAAAGUGUUGUAUGUCUAAAAUCACAAAAGUGAUGUAAAGCUUUACUUUUCAAAUUUUCUUGUGCUUAAAAAUCAUCUGGAAUCUUGUAAAAAGGGCUGUGGUCUAAAAGAAAGAGCCUGAGAUUCUGCAUUUCAGACAAGCUCCCAGAGAAGGUAAAUGAUGGCCCAUCGGCUACAGCUUGAGUAGCAAUGCUAUAAAGCACCUAAUAUUAAUACUCACUCUGAAAUGUUGUCCUCCCCUUCCUCCCUCCAUCUUCCUAUUUGAAAAUUCCAGGAGACAGAAAUGGAUUUUUAUUUACUCCAAACGUCCAGUCUGAUGGUCUCUCAAUUGUGUUCCUCGUUUAAAAUAGUGCGGCUCCUGCACUUUGUUUAACUCUGCUUGACAAUCAGUGAUUUGUGAUUCUGCUCUUUCCUGAGCAUGUUUAUAAAAUGACGACCUUGGGAUUGGAGUCUCUGCUGCCCAAAUGCAGGGAGCAGACUUUCUAUGGAAGAAUUGUGAAAGGUCAUUUUACCACUGUUUUUUUCUUUCUUCUUGUCUUUCUUUUUGUUUUUUUGCCUUGGCUUCAUAUGCUAAUGGAAUCAACAUCCCCAUUUGCUAUUUUAAUGUUUCUUAGAAAGCUUUAUCUCAGAAUUUCCUAUGGUUUGUAUGUGCAUUAGUCUUCUAGGUGAAUCAGAGGUUUCCUGCUAUAACACCAUGAGGUUUCUCAAUAGACCCUCUUGGCUCCUUGUUGAGUCUUUUGAAUGACUUUAUUAUAAUAAAGUUGACUUGGAGCCAGAGGAGGCAGAGCUCCAGUGUUGGGCUUUCUGUAGAAUUUUAUGGGUUUUUCUCAGAAGUUUAAUGCCAGUUUAAUGGAGUUUUAUAACUAUUAAUACUCUACCACUCCAGCUGCGCUAAGAAAUAUGUAACUAAACAAUAACUUGAAAUAGGUAAAUUCAUGAUUAAGUUGCACUAAAAACUAAUGCCUCUUGGCCAUAGUUCAUAAUUUCCAAAGGCACAUCAUUUAGAAUGAUUGGUAACUUUAGCCUUGUAACUCUUUCAAGGAGAAAGGCUGUGAGCUUAAAUCACUACAUUAAGCUGACAGUGAGGCUCAUAUUUUCUGAGCUAAAGAUAUAUUUUUAUGGCCACACAGUGGACUCUGUUUAUCACUCAUCAUAAACCAUAGGAAACCAUUUUUGUUUUAAAUUAGGUGCUUAGGCUUUUGUCCUGUAAUCUGUUUCUUUAUUUCCCCUUUUCACUUUUGUUGGUCCAUUUUCAACAACUCCCAAUCGUCUUCCGUUUCCUGAAAACAGCUCAUAUUUUAUAUCUCAGCUUCUUUAAAGGUAUUUCAUCCUAGUUGAGGUCACCUUAAUUUACACCUCAAAUUACAGUUCCAGAGCCAACUUCUUUGCUGCUGAUAUUGAGUAGUAAUCCUACUAAAGAGUCCAAUUUUAAAAUGAGGAACAGUCUUAUCCUACAAUGCCAGGCAUAAGAAGCCCAUGAAUUUUGCAUAUAUCUUUAGUACUUUAAUUUAUUGAAUUACAUUUCUCCACUUCUUUGAGCCACUUAGUCAAUUACACUUCAUUCUGCUGCCUCGUCUGGUUCUAGAAGCUGUCUGUUCACAAAGACCAUAACUAAGUCAGUUUUUCCCAGACGAGGCAACAGCCGCAAAUCAUCUGAAAGUGAAAUGACUGUGGAAUUUGAGGUUUAAUUGUUUUUAAGCCAUCUUGAUUAUGUUUAUUAAAAUAGAAGGUCUUGUCAAGUUAGACCUCUCUCUAUUUCUGUCUGUCUUUCUCCUCACCUCCCUCACUGACUUUUCAGCUCACUGAGGCCCAUCCUUUUAUUGCCUGAUUUUAUACAGUUGGAUGAGAAACACAUACUGGGCAGUGGCCACAGCCCCAUCAACUGAAAGGAAUAUGAUGGGAUCAGAAGUCCUCUUAAUGAAAAACUGUAUCUUUAAUUCCUGUGGAAUUUUAAAACAUGUGCAGUGCAAUCUAUAAAUGGCCAAAUAAAAAAAGAGCAAAUAAACAUAAGAUGUUACUGUGAUCUGGUAUAAAGCCUAUAUGGCAUAGCUGAGUUUCUACCCUGCCCUAACUCCACUUAUCUUGAAGAAAAAGGAUGCCUGUGAUCAAAAUUUUUCUUUGCAAACCAGACUAGCUGAAUUUCUACCCUGCUCUGACUCCACUUAUCUUGAAGAGAAAGGAUGCCUGUGAUCAAAAGUUUCCUUUGUAACCAGACCAGUUGAAACUGGUUAAAACCAAGAUAGCAGACCAAACGAUGUCAAAAGACUUUAGGCUUCAUUACGAUCUCAUUUCCAUGCUAAAUGACACUUCCAACAGUGCCAUGACAGUUGAUAUGUGCCAUGACAGCAACCAGAAUAAGCCAGAAAAGGACAAAAAGGAAGGCAGCACUCUGGUUCCAGGAAGUUCAUCACCUGUAUUAGUCUGUUUUCAUGCUGCUGAUAAAGACACACCAGAGACUGGGUAAUUUAUAAAGUAAAAGAGGUUUAAUGAACUUACAGUUCCAUGUGGCUGAGAAGGCUUCACAAUCAUGGUGGAGGGCGAGGGCGAAAGGCACUUCUUACAUGACAGCAGCUAGAUGGAGUUAAAGAGCCAAACAAAAGGGCUUUACCUUUAUAAACCCAUUACAGACUUAAUCACUACCAUGAGAACAGCAUGGGGAAAACUGCUCCCAUGAUUCAAUUAUCUCCCACUGGGUCCCUCCCACAACACGUGGGAAUUAUGGGAGCUACAAUUCAAGAUGAGAUUUGGGUGGGGACACAGCCAAACAAUAUCACCACCCAUUUCUGGAAAAAGACAUAGACAUUCUUCCUCUCAUGUUUAAUGUCCAACACCUUCAUCAGAAAACCCUAUAUUUUAACCCAUUCACUCCUCACUAGUCCAGGAGGAGUCAUGCUCCUGUUUCUCAGUUCCAUGGUGAUUGAGUAAAGCCUGCACUGCUUGACACUCACUUUCAGUUUUGUAUAUUGGCUUUCUGACACCAAACAGAGAGACCCCAUCCUUGGGGAGACCAGCUUUGUGGGUAACAGUUUAUCAUGUUUACAGUGAUUUUUUUUUUCGUAAUUUCUAGAACUGUUAAAAGAAAGCUUUAACACAAUAUCUUCUUACACAAUUGAAUAAGGAAAGUGGGCCUGCUCCUGAGCAUUGUAGGAGGUAAAACUCUAUGUUUUGCUCCUGAUUACUUUGGAGCUUUUUCUCACUCAGCUCUGUCUGCCUUUCUAUUGCCUUUAUUUGUUUACAUGCCUAACUUUAUCUUUCCA